AUUGAACGCUGGCGGCAGGCUUAACACAUGCAAGUCGAGCGGGGUGAUGGUGCUUGCACUAUCACUUAGCGGCGGACGGGUGAGUAAUGCUUAGGAAUCUGCCUAUUAGUGGGGGACAACAUCUCGAAAGGGAUGCUAAUACCGCAUACGUCCUACGGGAGAAAGCAGGGGAUCACUUGUGACCUUGCGCUAAUAGAUGAGCCUAAGUCGGAUUAGCUAGUUGGUGGGGUAAAGGCCUACCAAGGCGACGAUCUGUAGCGGGUCUGAGAGGAUGAUCCGCCACACUGGGACAGAGACACGGCCCAGACUCCUACGGGAGGCAGCAGUGGGGAAUAUUGGACAAUGGGGGGAACCCUGAUCCAGCCAUGCCGCGUGUGUGAAGAAGGCCUUAUGGUUGUAAAGCACUUUAAGCGAGGAGGAGGCUCUUUUGGUUAAUACCCAAGAUGAGUGGACGUUACUCGCAGAAUAAGCACCGGCUAACUCUGCGCCAGCAGCCGCCGUAA
This 503-nucleotide ribosomal RNA is filed under the name uncultured bacterium. Its description in RNAcentral is "partial 16S ribosomal RNA". It matches the Rfam family "Bacterial small subunit ribosomal RNA", at positions 30 to 523 of the family's 1533-position model. The record is from RNAcentral.